Molecule: long non-coding RNA, 788 nt
Organism: Rhipicephalus microplus (southern cattle tick)
Lineage: Eukaryota; Metazoa; Arthropoda; Arachnida; Ixodida; Ixodidae
Source: RefSeq, a predicted model, not a curated record
CGUUCAGAAGCUUUCGGCUCGCGAGAAGCUCAUUUUUGACCACUGGCUCAUGAAAGCCAACGCGAAGUCUGCAACAGCUGCGCGAAAUCUGAAAGCUGAUUUUGGCUUCGACAGCACUUUGUUCACGGUUCUGUGUGAAAAGCUAGAAGCAGUUCCAGAAAGAGAGCGUCGAGGAGUGCUCAUGUUCGAUGAAAUGAGCGUCAGAAAAAGCGUCCACAUUCGCGAGUCGGACAUGGCACUGCUGGGCAAGGUGGAUUUCGCCGAACACACACGACCAGGUGACCAUGGCAAAGACGGCGACCACGUGCUGGUCUUUCUGUUUCGGCCUUUUCUGGGAGGGUGGUCACAAACUGUGGGCACAUUUUGUGCUUCUGGUGCUGCCCCAGGAUCAAUCGUGGCGAAGCUCCUUUUGCAGUGCAUUGUUCACCUUACAAACGCUGGUGUUGUUGUUGACGCAGUGACCUGCGACAACUCCACAUCAAACCAAUCAGCCUUGAGAUCUCUGGGUACGUCUUUUCAAAUUUUAUUUAGCUGUGGUUAGUGAUGUAGUAGAAAAACAAGUGUACUAUUAAACUGUUUUUCUCUCAAGGUGUCAACGGGGACAUGCACAAGCUUCAAACGUGUUUUGAACACCCGUGUGAGCCCUCAAAGCAAGUCCACGUUGUAAUUGAUCCACCGCACAUAUUUAAGUGCAUCAGAAACAACUUGCUCAAAGUGGGCAAGUUUUUGCUCCCUCAAGGACAGGAGGUGUUCCACUGUCACUACAAGGACUUACUGGACUAUGAAGA